UACGUAGGUGGCAAGCGUUGUCCGGAUUUACUGGGCGUAAAGAGCGCGCAGGCGGUCGUUCAAGUCGCGUGUGAAAGCCCCCGGCUCAACUGGGGAGGGUCACGCGAUACUGAUCGACUCGAAGGCAGGAGAGGGUAGUGGAAUUCCCGGUGUAGUGGUGAAAUGCGUAGAUAUCAGGAGGAACACCAAUGGCGAAGGCAGCUCGCUGGGACGGUACUGACGCUGAGGCGCGAAAGCGUGGGGAGCAAACAGG
This 253-nucleotide ribosomal RNA is filed under the name uncultured bacterium. RNAcentral's name for it is "partial 16S ribosomal RNA". It matches the Rfam family "Bacterial small subunit ribosomal RNA", at positions 524 to 776 of the family's 1533-position model. The record is from RNAcentral.